RNAcentral lists this ribosomal RNA (811 nucleotides) under Levantina cilicica. RNAcentral describes it as "Assyriella cilicica partial large subunit ribosomal RNA". The record is from RNAcentral. Lineage: Eukaryota; Metazoa; Mollusca; Gastropoda; Stylommatophora; Helicidae.
AUUUAUAAGCUUUUUAUAGUUUUUAAAUCACGAAGAAAAGUGAGCUAAAUAUGUAUAUAUAUUAGUAUUAAACAUACGUGGUAUAGUAUUGAUUAAUAUGUAUUUAGGGGUGAUAGGCUUUUCAACCUUUUGGAUAUCUUGCUAUACAAGAAAUAUAUUUAGUAUAAUAUAACAACAAACUAAGAAAGUUAAGCUUAUUAGUAAGAAUGAAAAUUAGUGAGUGUAGUAGAUAAAGUAUAAUAACUAAUUGUAUUUUAUGAAAAUAUAAAUUAUAAAUGAAUUAUUUGAAUUAUUGUAUUAAUAUUUAUUAUUUUAUUAUUAGAUAAUGUAAGUAUAAGUAGUUAAACUAUUUGUAUUAAAGGAACUCGGCAAUUAAUACCGCUCAACUGUUUAUCAAAAACAUAACUACAUGAUAUAAUAUGUAGCUGUUUCUGCUCCAUGGUUUUACUAAAUAGCCGCAGUACUCUGACUGUGCAAAGGUAGCAUAAUCAGUUGGCUCUUAAUUAGAGUCUGGAAUGAACGAAUAUAUGGGUGGUAACUGUCUUAAUACAUUGAUGUGAAGUUUGUCAGUAAGUGCAAAUACUUACCUAGUUAAAAAAGACGAGAAGACCCUAGAAGCUUGAAAAUAGUUUUGUUGGGGCGACAGAAUUGCACUUAACCAAUUUUAAUAUACAUGAAGCUUUGCUGUAAGAGUAAGCUACUCUAGGGAUAACAGCAUAAUUUUUACAGUUUGUGACCUCGAUGUUGGACUAGGUAUGUGAUUUUCUAGAAGAAAGUAGCAUUUGCUCUGUUCGAGCAUGGACACCUACAU